RNAcentral lists this ribosomal RNA (432 nucleotides) under uncultured bacterium. RNAcentral describes it as "partial 16S ribosomal RNA". It matches the Rfam family "Bacterial small subunit ribosomal RNA", at positions 29 to 506 of the family's 1533-position model. The record is from RNAcentral.
AACGAACGCUGGCGGCAUGCCUAACACAUGCAAGUCGAACGAGACCUUCGGGUCUAGUGGCGCACGGGUGCGUAACGCGUGGGAACCUGCCCUUAGGUUCGGAAUAACUCCCCGAAAGGGGUGCUAAUACCGGAUAAUGUCUUCGGACCAAAGAUUUAUCGCCUUUGGAUGGGCCCGCGUCGGAUUAGCUAGUUGGUAGGGUAAAAGCCUACCAAGGCGACGAUCCAUAGCUGGUCUGAGAGGAUGAUCAGCCACACUGGGACUGAGACACGGCCCAGACUCCUACGGGAGGCAGCAGUGGGGAAUAUUGGACAAUGGGCGAAAGCCUGAUCCAGCAAUGCCGCGUGAGUGAUGAAGGCCUUAGGGUUGUAAAGCUCUUUUACCCGGGAUGAUAAUGACAGUACCGGGAGAAUAAGCUCCGGCUAACUCCGU